UGUGGGAGGGGGCUUGCCCCCGAUAUAGGUGUAUGAGUCGACAUGUGUAUGACUGAUGCACCGCUAUCGGGGGCAAGCCCCCUCCCACA
This 89-nucleotide unclassified non-coding RNA is filed under the name Pseudomonas libanensis. Lineage: Bacteria; Pseudomonadati; Pseudomonadota; Gammaproteobacteria; Pseudomonadales; Pseudomonadaceae. The record is from RNAcentral.